AAUGGUUAACCGACAUCUGCCACCCGUUGAACUCAAGCCUAGGAAACAUCACGCGAUAAGCUCAACUAGACUGAAGAUAUAUCAAAUGUCAAGAAUCUUAAGAAGGUCUACUUCCGUUGGCAAGGGAUCGAUGGGAUCCUUAAAUUCAAAAAAGCAAAACAUUCGCAGAAUCCAAGACUUGGAAAACUAUAUUGAACUGCUCAAGAAUCGAAAACACAAUAUCUAAUCAUGAAAGAUGGUUUAUAUACAAUUUAUGUCCCGCGAGUGGAAAAUUCUAGAAUUAUGGAAGCAGUUAUGUUUAACAAGGAUUGACCCACGUAAGAGAAGUCACAAUCGAGGCAGUUUAUUUUGUAUAUGACAUUACAUUGUUCCAUUCUUUCUAAUCUGUCUUUACCUAAUUUAAUAAUUGAAUUUUAUCGUAUUCAUUGGUUUGUAAGCUAUUUUGAAAUUUUUUUUUCCGCAAUCAUUUU
Long non-coding RNA from Acromyrmex echinatior (Panamanian leafcutter ant), 470 nucleotides. The record is from RefSeq and is a predicted model, not a curated record. Lineage: Eukaryota; Metazoa; Arthropoda; Insecta; Hymenoptera; Formicidae.